UUGAAUUGAAGAGUUUGAUCAUGGCUCAGAUUGAACGCUGGCGGCAGGCUUAACACAUGCAAGUCGAACGGUAGCAGGAGAAAGCUUGCUUUCUUGCUGACGAGUGGCGGACGGGUGAGUAAUGCUU
RNAcentral lists this ribosomal RNA (127 nucleotides) under Haemophilus influenzae. RNAcentral's name for it is "partial 16S ribosomal RNA". It matches the Rfam family "Bacterial small subunit ribosomal RNA", at positions 1 to 118 of the family's 1533-position model. The record is from RNAcentral. Lineage: Bacteria; Pseudomonadati; Pseudomonadota; Gammaproteobacteria; Pasteurellales; Pasteurellaceae.